This 811-nucleotide ribosomal RNA is filed under the name uncultured bacterium. Its description in RNAcentral is "bacterial SSU rRNA". It matches the Rfam family "Bacterial small subunit ribosomal RNA", at positions 8 to 796 of the family's 1533-position model. The record is from RNAcentral.
AGAGUUUGAUCCUGGCUCAGAUUGAACGCUGGCGGCGUGCUUAACACAUGCAAGUCGAACGAGAAAGGGGCUUCGGCCCUGAGUAGAGUGGCGCACGGGUGAGUAACGCGUAGGUAAUCUACCCUUAUAUUCGGGAUAACAUCGCGAAAGCGGUGCUAAUACCGGAUAUCUUUGUAUGGACGCGAGUCUGUAUGAGGAAAGGUGACCUCUCCAUGGAAGUUACCGUAUGAGGAUGAGCCUGCGUACCAUUAGCUAGUUGGUAGGGUAAUGGCCCACCAAGGCGACGAUCAGUAGCCGGCCUGAGAGGGUGAUCGGCCACACUGGAACUGAGACACGGUCCAGACUCCUACGGGAGGCAGCAGUGGGGAAUUUUGCGCAAUGGACGAAAGUCUGACGCAGCAACGCCGCGUGGGUGAUGAAGGUCUUCGGACUGUAAAACCCUGUCGUCAGGGACGAAGGUUGGGGGGUUAAUAGCCCUUUAGCUUGACGGUACCUGGAGAGGAAGCCCCGGCUAACUCUGUGCCAGCAGCCGCGGUAAUACAGAGGGGGCAAGCGUUAUUCGGAAUUAUUGGGCGUAAAGGGCGCGUAGGCGGUUUGUUAAGUCAGAUGUGUAAUCCCCGAGCUCAACUUGGGAACUGCAUCUGAGACUGGCAGGCUAGAGUACUGGAGAGGGUGGUGGAAUUCCCGGUGUAGAGGUGAAAUUCGUAGAUAUCGGGAGGAAUACCGGUGGCGAAGGCGACACUCUGGACAGAUACUGACGCUGAGGCGCGAAAGCGUGGGGAGCAAACAGGAUUAGAUACCCUGGUAGUCC